Molecule: ribosomal RNA, 275 nt
Filed under: uncultured bacterium
Lineage: Bacteria
Description: partial 16S ribosomal RNA
Rfam family: Bacterial small subunit ribosomal RNA
Source: RNAcentral
CCUACGGGGGGCUGCAAUUAGGAAUCUUGCACAAUGGGCGAAAGCCUGAUGCAGCGACGCCGCGUGAAGGACGAAGCUUCUCGGAGUGUAAACUUCUUUUGGCGGGGAAGAAUUCUGACGGUACCCGCCGAAUAAGCCCCGGCUAACUACGUGCCAGCAGCCGCGGUAAUACGUAGGGGGCGAGCGUUGUCCGAAUUUACUGGGCGUAAAGCGCGCGUAGGCGGUCCCUUAAGUCUGGGGUGAAAGGUUCAGCGCUCAACGCGAACAGCGCCUUG